CCAAUAGCGUAUAUUAAAGUUGUUGCAGUUAAAAAGCUCGUAGUUGAAUUUCGGGAUCAACAUGUCGGUCGUGCCUCCGGUACGUACUGGUAUCGUUGAUUUCUACCUUCUGACGAACCAUGAUGUCAUUAAUUUGGUGUCAUGGGGAAUCAGGACUGUUACUUUGAAAAAAUUAGAGUGUUUAAAGCAGGCACACGCUUGAAUACAUUAGCAUGGAAUAAUGAAAUAGGACGUUUGACCCUAUUUUGUUGGUUUCUAGGAUCGACGUAAUGAUUAAUAGGGAUAGUUGGGGGCAUUAGUAUUCAAUUGUGAGAGGUGAAAUUCUUGGAUUUAUUGAAAACUAGCUACUGCGAGAGCAUUUGCCAAGGAUGUUUUCAUUAAUCAAGAACGAAAGUUAGGGGAUCGCAGACGAUCAGAUACCGUCGUAGUCUUAACCAUAAACUAUGCCGACUAGGGAUCGGAUGAUGUUAAUUUUUUAAUGACUCAUUCGGCGCCUUAC
Molecule: ribosomal RNA, 499 nt
Filed under: uncultured Glomeromycotina
Lineage: Eukaryota; Fungi; Glomeromycota
Description: partial small subunit ribosomal RNA
Rfam family: Eukaryotic small subunit ribosomal RNA
Source: RNAcentral